UACAGAGGGGGCAAGCGUUAUUCGGAAUUAUUGGGCGUAAAGGGCGCGUAGGCGGCGAUUCAAGUGGCGGGUGAAAUCCCUCGGCUUAACCGAGGAAGUGCUUUCCAAACUGCCGGACUUGAGUACGCAAGAGGAACGCGGAAUUCCCGGUGUAGAGGUGAAAUUCGUAGAUAUCGGGAGGAACACCAGCGGCGAAGGCGGCGAUCUGGGGCGAUACUGACGCUGAGGUGCGAAGGCGUGGGGAGCAAACAGG
Molecule: ribosomal RNA, 253 nt
Filed under: uncultured bacterium
Lineage: Bacteria
Description: partial 16S ribosomal RNA
Rfam family: Bacterial small subunit ribosomal RNA
Source: RNAcentral